UAGCUCAGUUGGUAUAGUAUGGUGUUUGCAACGCCAGGGUUGUGGGUUUGAUUCCCAC
This 58-nucleotide transfer RNA is filed under the name Salmo salar (Atlantic salmon). It matches the Rfam family "tRNA", at positions 8 to 63 of the family's 71-position model. Rfam says of the family: Transfer RNA (tRNA) molecules are approximately 80 nucleotides in length. Their secondary structure includes four short double-helical elements and three loops (D, anti-codon, and T loops). The record is from Rfam by way of RNAcentral. Lineage: Eukaryota; Metazoa; Chordata; Actinopteri; Salmoniformes; Salmonidae.